GUUUUAAUAGUUUAAAUUUAAAACUUUGGUCUUGUAAAUCAAAAAUGAAAUAUAUUUCUUAAAACU
RNAcentral lists this transfer RNA (66 nucleotides) under Clistocoeloma sinense. Its description in RNAcentral is "tRNA-Thr". It matches the Rfam family "tRNA". Rfam says of the family: Transfer RNA (tRNA) molecules are approximately 80 nucleotides in length. The record is from RNAcentral. Lineage: Eukaryota; Metazoa; Arthropoda; Malacostraca; Decapoda; Sesarmidae.